GCAGUAAUAGCUCAUUUGGUAGAGCAUUGCAUUGCCAAUGCAAGGGCGGCGGGUUCGAAUCCCGUUUACUGCACAA
This 76-nucleotide transfer RNA is filed under the name Ignavibacteria bacterium. RNAcentral describes it as "tRNA-Gly". It matches the Rfam family "tRNA". Rfam says of the family: Transfer RNA (tRNA) molecules are approximately 80 nucleotides in length. Their secondary structure includes four short double-helical elements and three loops (D, anti-codon, and T loops). The record is from RNAcentral. Lineage: Bacteria; Pseudomonadati; Ignavibacteriota; Ignavibacteria.